ACAGCAGCCGCCGCGGUAAUACGGAGGAUCCGAGCGUUAUCCGGAAUUAUUGGGUUUAAAGGGUGCGUAGGCGGAUAGAUAAGUCAGUGGUGAAAGACGGUGGCUCAACCAUCGCAGUGCCGUUGAUACUGUUUAUCUUGAAUAUGGAUGAGGUAGGCGGAAUGUGGCAAGUAGCGGUGAAAUGCAUAGAUAUGCCACAGAACACCGAUUGCGAAGGCAGCUUACCAAGGCAAAAUUGACGCUGAGGCACGAAAGCGUGGGGAUCGAACAGGAUUAGAUACCCGUGUAGUCCCUGUCUCUUAUAA
Molecule: ribosomal RNA, 305 nt
Filed under: uncultured bacterium
Lineage: Bacteria
Description: partial 16S ribosomal RNA
Rfam family: Bacterial small subunit ribosomal RNA
Source: RNAcentral